AUUCCAGCUCCAAUAGCGUAUAUUAAUGUUGUUGCAGUUAAAAAGCUCGUAGUCGGAUUUCAAUGCGGGUUGACCGGUCUGCCGAUUGGUAUGCACUGGCCGAGCCGUAUUUCCUCCCGGAGACCUCGUCUACACUUAACUGAGGCGGACGGGGGAAACGGGAUUUUUACUUUGAGGAAAUCAGAGUGUUCAAAGCAGGCUUUUGUAUGUAUGUGUUAGCAUGGGAUAAUAAAAUAGGACUUGGGUGCUAUUUUGUUGGUUUCGAACACCUAAGUAAUGAUUAAUAUGGAUAGUCAGGGGCACUCGUAUUCCACCGAGAGAGGUGAAAUUCUUAGACCAGUGGAAGACGAACUUCUGCGAAAGCAUUUGCCAGGGAUGUUUUCAUUA
Molecule: ribosomal RNA, 387 nt
Filed under: Haptophyta sp.
Lineage: Eukaryota; Haptophyta
Description: partial small subunit ribosomal RNA
Rfam family: Eukaryotic small subunit ribosomal RNA
Source: RNAcentral